MicroRNA precursor from Xenopus tropicalis (tropical clawed frog), 120 nucleotides. The record is from Ensembl. NCBI's taxonomy places the organism in Eukaryota, Metazoa, Chordata, Amphibia, Anura, Pipidae.
UUCCCCCCUGCUAAGCAAUUAUGCCAAUCAACUUAGUGCAAUCACACGCUACAGUUGAUUGUAAUAAAGGAAAAGCUGGGUUGAGAGGUGACAUGAUUUGCUGGAGGUAUAAAGUUACUG